AUGAUUGAAACAUACCAAGUCCAAGACAACGAGACACUUACUAGCCUAUGGGAAAAGCGAAAGUACUGGGUACCGGCCUACUUCAUGCACUGCUUCUUCCCAUUUCUGCAGACUACACAGUGCAGCGAGGGGUUCAAUGCUGUUUUGAAGUGGUACAUGAGCCCUGGCAACUCAUUGCUGCAGUUUGCCAAGCAAUACACAACUUUGCAACAGAAAAUACUGGGAUCUGAGCUACAGGAAGAAGCAAACACCGCGCUCAAGCAGCCUAAAUUGCUAACAUAUUUAACGAUGGAGAGGCAUAUGAGCAAGAUAUAUACCAACAAAUUUUUUAACUAA
This 336-nucleotide ribosomal RNA is filed under the name Triticum aestivum (bread wheat). RNAcentral describes it as "partial small subunit ribosomal RNA". The record is from RNAcentral. Lineage: Eukaryota; Viridiplantae; Streptophyta; Magnoliopsida; Poales; Poaceae.